This 1554-nucleotide ribosomal RNA is filed under the name Escherichia coli. RNAcentral describes it as "bacterial SSU rRNA". It matches the Rfam family "Bacterial small subunit ribosomal RNA". Lineage: Bacteria; Pseudomonadati; Pseudomonadota; Gammaproteobacteria; Enterobacterales; Enterobacteriaceae. The record is from RNAcentral. RNAcentral also lists the same sequence under 4 other names.
AAAUUGAAGAGUUUGAUCAUGGCUCAGAUUGAACGCUGGCGGCAGGCCUAACACAUGCAAGUCGAACGGUAACAGGAAGCAGCUUGCUGCUUCGCUGACGAGUGGCGGACGGGUGAGUAAUGUCUGGGAAACUGCCUGAUGGAGGGGGAUAACUACUGGAAACGGUAGCUAAUACCGCAUAACGUCGCAAGACCAAAGAGGGGGACCUUCGGGCCUCUUGCCAUCGGAUGUGCCCAGAUGGGAUUAGCUUGUUGGUGGGGUAACGGCUCACCAAGGCGACGAUCCCUAGCUGGUCUGAGAGGAUGACCAGCCACACUGGAACUGAGACACGGUCCAGACUCCUACGGGAGGCAGCAGUGGGGAAUAUUGCACAAUGGGCGCAAGCCUGAUGCAGCCAUGCCGCGUGUAUGAAGAAGGCCUUCGGGUUGUAAAGUACUUUCAGCGGGGAGGAAGGGAGUAAAGUUAAUACCUUUGCUCAUUGACGUUACCCGCAGAAGAAGCACCGGCUAACUCCGUGCCAGCAGCCGCGGUAAUACGGAGGGUGCAAGCGUUAAUCGGAAUUACUGGGCGUAAAGCGCACGCAGGCGGUUUGUUAAGUCAGAUGUGAAAUCCCCGGGCUCAACCUGGGAACUGCAUCUGAUACUGGCAAGCUUGAGUCUCGUAGAGGGGGGUAGAAUUCCAGGUGUAGCGGUGAAAUGCGUAGAGAUCUGGAGGAAUACCGGUGGCGAAGGCGGCCCCCUGGACGAAGACUGACGCUCAGGUGCGAAAGCGUGGGGAGCAAACAGGAUUAGAUACCCUGGUAGUCCACGCCGUAAACGAUGUCGACUUGGAGGUUGUGCCCUUGAGGCGUGGCUUCCGGAGCUAACGCGUUAAGUCGACCGCCUGGGGAGUACGGCCGCAAGGUUAAAACUCAAAUGAAUUGACGGGGGCCCGCACAAGCGGUGGAGCAUGUGGUUUAAUUCGAUGCAACGCGAAGAACCUUACCUGGUCUUGACAUCCACAGAACUUUCCAGAGAUGGAUUGGUGCCUUCGGGAACUGUGAGACAGGUGCUGCAUGGCUGUCGUCAGCUCGUGUUGUGAAAUGUUGGGUUAAGUCCCGCAACGAGCGCAACCCUUAUCCUUUGUUGCCAGCGGUCCGGCCGGGAACUCAAAGGAGACUGCCAGUGAUAAACUGGAGGAAGGUGGGGAUGACGUCAAGUCAUCAUGGCCCUUACGACCAGGGCUACACACGUGCUACAAUGGCGCAUACAAAGAGAAGCGACCUCGCGAGAGCAAGCGGACCUCAUAAAGUGCGUCGUAGUCCGGAUUGGAGUCUGCAACUCGACUCCAUGAAGUCGGAAUCGCUAGUAAUCGUGGAUCAGAAUGCCACGGUGAAUACGUUCCCGGGCCUUGUACACACCGCCCGUCACACCAUGGGAGUGGGUUGCAAAAGAAGUAGGUAGCUUAACCUUCGGGAGGGCGCUUACCACUUUGUGAUUCAUGACUGGGGUGAAGUCGUAACAAGGUAACCGUAGGGGAACCUGCGGUUGGAUCACCUCCUUACCUUAAAGAAGC